GAUGAACGCUAGCGACAGGCUUAACACAUGCAAGUCGAGGGGCAGCAUAGAAGUAGCAAUACUUUGGUGGCGACCGGCGCACGGGUGAGUAACGCGUAUGCAACCUACCUAUCAGAGGGGAAUAACCCGGCGAAAGUCGGACUAAUACCGCAUAAAACAGGGGCACCGCAUGGUGAUAUUUGUUAAAGAGAUUCGCUGAUAGAUGGGCAUGCGUUCCAUUAGGUAGUUGGUGAGGUAACGGCUCACCAAGCCGACGAUGGAUAGGGGGAACUGAGAGGUUGGUCCCCCACACUGGUACUGAGACACGGACCAGACUCCUACGGGAGGCAGCAGUAAGGAAUAUUGGUCAAUGGAGGCAACUCUGAACCAGCCAUGCCGCGUGCAGGAUGAAUGCCCUAUGGGUAGUAAACUGCUUUUAUACGGGAGAAACCCAGGUACGUGUACCUGGUUGAUAGUACUGUAAGAAUAAGGAUCGGCUAACUUCGUGACAGCAGCCG
Molecule: ribosomal RNA, 497 nt
Filed under: uncultured bacterium
Lineage: Bacteria
Description: bacterial SSU rRNA
Rfam family: Bacterial small subunit ribosomal RNA
Source: RNAcentral